This 274-nucleotide ribosomal RNA is filed under the name uncultured bacterium. RNAcentral's name for it is "partial 16S ribosomal RNA". It matches the Rfam family "Bacterial small subunit ribosomal RNA", at positions 81 to 353 of the family's 1533-position model. The record is from RNAcentral.
ACUGGAGAUGGCGACCGGCGCACGGGUGAGUAACACGUAUCCAACCUGCCGAUAACUCGGGGAUAGCCUUUCGAAAGAAAGAUUAAUACCCGAUGGCAUAAUAGAACCGCAUGGUUUGAUUAUUAAAGAAUUUCGGUUAUCGAUGGGGAUGCGUUCCAUUAGGCAGUUGGUGGGGUAACGGCCCACCAAACCUUCGAUGGAUAGGGGUUCUGAGAGGAAGGUCCCCCACCAUUGGAACUGAGACACGGUCCAAACUCCUACGGGAGGCAGCAUG